CGGGGGCCCGCACAAGCGGUGGAGCAUGUGGUUUAAUUCGAUGCAACGCGAAGAACCUUACCUGGUCUUGACAUCCACGGAAGUUUUCAGAGAUGAGAAUGUGCCUUCCGGAACCGUGAGACAGGUG
This 127-nucleotide ribosomal RNA is filed under the name Salmonella enterica subsp. enterica serovar Kentucky. RNAcentral describes it as "partial 16S ribosomal RNA". It matches the Rfam family "Bacterial small subunit ribosomal RNA", at positions 914 to 1040 of the family's 1533-position model. The record is from RNAcentral. Lineage: Bacteria; Pseudomonadati; Pseudomonadota; Gammaproteobacteria; Enterobacterales; Enterobacteriaceae.